CCAGACUCCUACGGGAGGCAGCAGUGCGGAAUAUUGGUCACUGGCCGUAAGUCUUCCCCAGCCAAUUCGCUUGAGGGAAGACUGCCCUAUGGGUUUUCCCCCUCUUUUAUUCUUGGAUAAAGGUGUCCACGUGUGUCUUUUUGCAGGUACCUCCUUAAUAAGGCCCUUCUAAUUCCGUUCCCUCAGCCGCGUUCCUCCGGAAGGUCCGGUCUUUAUCCGGAUUUAUUGGGUUUAAAGGGAGCGUAGGUGGAGUGGGAAGUCAGUUGGGAAAGUUUGCGGCGCAACCGUAAAAUUGCAGUUGAAACUGGCAGUCUUGAGUACAGUAGAGGGGGGCGGAAUUCGGGGUGUAGCGGUGAAAUGCUUAGAUAGAAAGAAGAACUCCGAUUGCGAAGGCAGUGCACUGGACUGCAACUGACACUGAGGCUCGAAAGUGUGGGUAUCAAGCAGGAUUAGAUACCCCCGUAUCC
This 467-nucleotide ribosomal RNA is filed under the name uncultured bacterium. Its description in RNAcentral is "bacterial SSU rRNA". It matches the Rfam family "Bacterial small subunit ribosomal RNA", at positions 331 to 795 of the family's 1533-position model. The record is from RNAcentral.